AUCGCUUCUCGGUCUUUUGGCUAAGAUCAAGUGUAGUAUCUGUUCUUAUCAGUUUAAUAUCUGAUACGUCCUCUAUCAGAGGACAAUAUAUUAAAUGGAUUUUUGAAGCUGGGAGUUGGAAUGGGAGCUUGCUCUGUCCACUCCACGCAUCGACCCGGUAUUGCAGUACCUCCGGGAACGGUGCACAAAAA
Small nuclear RNA from Pipistrellus kuhlii (Kuhl's pipistrelle), 191 nucleotides. RefSeq annotates it as U2 spliceosomal RNA. The transcript has a single exon. Lineage: Eukaryota; Metazoa; Chordata; Mammalia; Chiroptera; Vespertilionidae. The record is from RefSeq and is a predicted model, not a curated record.